Molecule: ribosomal RNA, 501 nt
Filed under: marine proteobacterium 'Bird Shoal 6-2'
Lineage: Bacteria; Pseudomonadati; Pseudomonadota; Gammaproteobacteria; Vibrionales; Vibrionaceae
Description: bacterial SSU rRNA
Rfam family: Bacterial small subunit ribosomal RNA
Source: RNAcentral
AUUGAACGCUGGCGGCAGGCCUAACACAUGCAAGUCGAGCGGAAACGAGUUAUCUGACCCUUCGGGUGACGAUAUCGGCGUCGAGCGGCGGACGGGUGAGUAAUGCCUGGGAAAUUGCCCUGAUGUGGGGGAUAACCAUUGGAAACGAUGGCUAAUACCGCAUGAUGCCUACGGGCCAAAGAGGGGGACCUUCGGGCCUCUCGCGUCAGGAUAUGCCUAGGUGGGAUUAGCUAGUUGGUGAGGUAAGGGCUCACCAAGGCGACGAUCCCUAGCUGGUCUGAGAGGAUGAUCAGCCACACUGGAACUGAGACACGGUCCAGACUCCUACGGGAGGCAGCAGUGGGGAAUAUUGCACAAUGGGCGCAAGCCUGAUGCAGCCAUGCCGCGUGUGUGAAGAAGGCCUUCGGGUUGUAAAGCACUUUCAGUCGUGAGGAAGGCGGGUACGUUAAUAGCGUAUUCGUUUGACGUUAGCGACAGAAGAAGCACCGGCUAACUCCGUGC